CCUACGGGAGGCAGCAGUGGGGGAUAUUGCACAAUGGGGGGAACCCUGAUGCAGCGACGCCGCGUGGGUGAAGAAGCGCCUCGGCGCGUAAAGCCCUGUCAGCCGGGAAGAACAUGACGGUACCUGAAGAAGCAGCCCCGGCUAACUACGUGCCAGCAGCCGCGGUAAUACGUAGGGGGCAAGCGUUAUCCGGAUUGACUGGGUGUAAAGGGGGCGCAGACGGCGAUGCAAGCCAGGAGUGAAAGCCCGGGGGCCAACCCCGGGACUGCUCUUGGAACUGCGUGGCUGGAGUGCAGGAGAGGCAGGCGGAAUUCCUGGUGUAGCGGUGAAAUGCGUAGAUAUCAGGAGGAACAGCGGUGGCGAAGGCAGCCUGCUGGACUGCAACUGACGUUGAGGCCCGAAAGCGUGGGGAGCAAACAGGAUUAGAUACCCCUGUAGUC
Molecule: ribosomal RNA, 440 nt
Filed under: uncultured bacterium
Lineage: Bacteria
Description: partial 16S ribosomal RNA
Rfam family: Bacterial small subunit ribosomal RNA
Source: RNAcentral